GACGAACGCUGGCGGCGUGCUUAACACAUGCAAGUCGAACGGAAAGGCCCUUCGGGGUGCUCGAGUGGCGAACGGGUGAGUAACACGUGAGUAACCUGCCCUGGUCUUGGGGAUAACCUUCGGAAACGGGGGCUAAUACCGAAUAUUUCCUUCCUGUCGCAUGGUGGGUGGGGGAAAGUUUUUUCGGACUGGGAUGGGCUCGCGGCCUAUCAGCUUGUUGGUGGGGUGAUGGCCUACCAAGGCUUUGACGGGUAGCCGGCCUGAGAGGGCGACCGGCCACACUGGGACUGAGACACGGCCCAGACUCCUACGGGAGGCAGCAGUGGGGAAUAUUGCACAAUGGACGCAAGUCUGAUGCAGCGACGCCGCGUGAGGGAUGACGGCCUUCGGGUUGUAAACCUCUUUCGCCAAGGACGAAGCGAAAGUGACGGUACUUGGAGAAGAAGCGCCGGCCAACUACGUGCCAGCAGCCGCGGUAAGACGUAGGGCGCGAGCGUUGUCCGGAUUUAUUGGGCGUAAAGAGCUCGUAGGCGGCUCAUUGCGUCAACCGUGAAAUCCUGCUGCUCAACGGCAGGUCUGCGGUUGAUACGGGUGGGCUGGAGUUCGGUAGGGGAGACUGGAAUUCCUGGUGUAGCGGUGAAAUGCGCAGAUAUCAGGAGGAACACCGGUGGCGAAGGCGGGUCUCUGGGCCGAUACUGACGCUGA
Molecule: ribosomal RNA, 705 nt
Filed under: uncultured Actinomycetes bacterium
Lineage: Bacteria; Bacillati; Actinomycetota; Actinomycetes
Description: bacterial SSU rRNA
Rfam family: Bacterial small subunit ribosomal RNA
Source: RNAcentral